Molecule: ribosomal RNA, 890 nt
Filed under: uncultured archaeon
Lineage: Archaea
Description: bacterial SSU rRNA
Rfam family: Archaeal small subunit ribosomal RNA
Source: RNAcentral
ACUGCUAUCGGGGUGGGACUAAGACAUGCGAGUCGAGCGUCUCUAGUUAUGGUGAGACGCGGCAGACGGCUCAGUAACACGUGGCUAACCUACCCUCAGGACGGGGACAAACCCGGGAAACUGGGGCUAAUACCCGAUAGGCGAGGGCGCCUGGAAUGGUUCUUCACCCAAAGGGCUUUGGAAGCAUGCUUUUCAAAGUCGCCUGGGGAUGGGGCCGCGUCCGAUCAGGUUGUUGGUGAGGUAACGGCUCACCAAGCCUAUAACCGGUACGGGCCGUGAGAGCGGUAGCCCGGAGAUGGGCACUGAGACAAGGGCCCAGGCCCUACGGGGCGCAGCAGUCGCGAAAACUCCGCAAUGCACGAAAGUGUGACGGGGCUACCCCGAGUGCCGUCCGCUGAGGAUGGCUUUUCCCCGGUGUAACUAGCCGGGGGAAUAAGGAGAGGGCAAGACUGGUGUCAGCCGCCGCGGUAAUACCAGCUCUCCGAGUGGUAGGGAUGAUUAUUGGGCUUAAAGCGUCCGUAGUCGGCUUAGCAAGUUUCCUGUUAAACUCAGCGACCUAAUCGUUGAAUCGCGGGAAAUACUACUAGGCUAGGAGGCGGGAGAGGUCGACGGUACUUCCGGGGUAGGGGUGAAAUCCUAUAAUCCCGGGAGGACCACCAGAGGCGAAGGCUGUCGACUAGAACGCGCUCGACGGUGAGGGACGAAAGCUGGGGGAGCGAACCGGAUUAGAUACCCGGGUAGUCCCAGCUGUAAACGAUGCGGGCUAGGUGUUGGGGUGGCUACGAGCCACUUCAGUGCCGCAGGGAAGCCAUUAAGCCCGCCGCCUGGGGAGUACGGCCGCAAGGCUGAAACUUAAAGGAAUUGGCGGGGGAGCACCACAAGGCGUGAAG